GAUGAACGCUGACAGAAUGCUUAACACAUGCAAGUCAACUUGAAUUUGGGUUUUUAACUUAGGUUUGGGUGGCGGACGGGUGAGUAACGCGUAAAGGACUUGCCUCACAGCUAGGGACAACAUUUGGAAACGAAUGCUAAUACCUAAUAUUAUGAUAAUAGGGCAUCCUAUAAUUAUGAAAGCUAUAAGCGCUGUGAGAGAGCUUUGCGUCCCAUUAGCUAGUUGGAGAGGUAACGGCUCACCAAGGCGAUGAUGGGUAGCCGGCCUGAGAGGGUGAUCGGCCACAAGGGGACUGAGACACGGCCCUUACUCCUACGGGAGGCAGCAGUGGGGAAUAUUGGACAAUGGACCGAGAGUCUGAUCCAGCAAUUCUGUGUGCACGAUGAAGUUUUUCGGAAUGUAAAGUGCUUUCAGUUGGGAAGAAACAAAUGACGGUACCAACAGAAGAAGUGACGGCUAAAUACGUG
RNAcentral lists this ribosomal RNA (467 nucleotides) under uncultured bacterium. Its description in RNAcentral is "partial 16S ribosomal RNA". It matches the Rfam family "Bacterial small subunit ribosomal RNA", at positions 28 to 507 of the family's 1533-position model. The record is from RNAcentral.